AUGAACGCUGGCGGCGUGCCUAAUACAUGCAAGUCGAGCGAACAGACGAGGAGCUUGCUCCUCUGACGUUAGCGGCGGACGGGUGAGUAACACGUGGAUAACCUACCUAUAAGACUGGGAUAACUUCGGGAAACCGGAGCUAAUACCGGAUAAUAUAUUGAACCGCAUGGUUCAAUAGUGAAAGACGGUUUUGUUGUCACUUAUAGAUGGAUCCGCGCCGCAUUAGCUAGUUGGUAAGGUAACGGCUUACCAAGGCGACGAUGCGUAGCCGACCUGAGAGGGUGAUCGGCCACACUGGAACUGAGACACGGUCCAGACUCCUACGGGAGGCAGCAGUAGGGAAUCUUCCGCAAUGGGCGAAAGCCUGACGGAGCAACGCCGCGUGAGUGAUGAAGGUCUUCGGAUCGUAAAACUCUGUUAUUAGGGAAGAACAAAUGUGUAAGUAACUAUGCACGUCUUGACGGUACCUAAUCAGAAAGCCACGGCUAACUACGUG
This 496-nucleotide ribosomal RNA is filed under the name uncultured bacterium. RNAcentral's name for it is "partial 16S ribosomal RNA". It matches the Rfam family "Bacterial small subunit ribosomal RNA", at positions 29 to 507 of the family's 1533-position model. The record is from RNAcentral.